UAAAACGUGCUUCAUUUUCUCCAGUGAAAGUUUAAGGCAGGAGUAGGCAACCCAAGGCCCAGCAGCCAGAUGCGGCCCAAUCACCACCUUAAUCCGGCCUGCAGAUGGUCCAGGAAUCAGCGUGUUUUUACAUGAGUCUUUUUAUUUAAAAUGCAUCUCUGGGUUAUUUGUGAGGCAUAGGAAUUCGUUCAUUUUUUUUUUUUCAAAAUAUAGUCUGGCCCACCACAUGGUCUGAGGGACAGUGGACCGGCCCACAGCUGAAAAAGGUUGCUGACCCCUGGUUUAAGGAGACCAUGAAGUGCCUUACUAGCUAGAUUUGUAGCAGGUAACAUUAACUGAGCAUUGAACCUAAUGUCAAAUACACACACAUACACACAAACCCCUACCCUCACCCAAAAGGGAAGGUUCCUUCCCAACCUUACACUUUAGUCAGGCCAAAAUCGUAAAAGGCGGCAGGACUUGUGAUAGUUUGCCAUAAUUGCCAUCGCUACACCACAAAGGGACUUGCAGUGCUAUGUAUUUUCAGGAGAAAGCUAUCAUAACAUUGUACAAAGUUUAAUUCUAUAUGUUGUUUUAAAAAGUUAUUAGCCCUUAGAGACAAUGAAAAAUAUGGCUCAGAAUCAAAUGCCCAAGUUGUGGGUAGGGAUGCACUGUUAUUUUCUAAAAUGUCUUUUUUAUAUAUUUUGACAAGAAACGGGGAGAGGGGAAUGCUUGGGGAGUUGUAGUGACUGAACAUUUGCAGUAAGCACAAUAUUUGUGGCUCCAUUUGUCAGCAUUAGUCUUGUAAUACAAACUUCAAGAUCAACUCAGGUAGUUGUAACAUAAGCAAGCACUUUCAGCUGUGAACCUGAUCGGUUUAUAUCACAACAGUAACUGUUUUUUGUCUUUUGUAUAACUGCCAGCCACAACUACAGUUGGAAAAGAGUUUACUUGAAUUUAUUGUUUCAAGUUGUCUUUAAAAAAAAUUGUUUCAUUAUUGCAAUCCUUUCCCCUGGGAAUCACAUCCAUAGAUUUGCAUUUUUGAUCCUAGCAGUGUUCUAUUGUUUGUGUAUUUAUUGCAGAAAUUUUAUAUUUGUAUCUGGUUUGGAUUUGAUCAUAAUCCUUUAGUUGUGCCUUCUUCCUCGGUUUAGCUUUUAACAGACCUUAAAACCAAGGUGUGGCAGACUACUGAAUCUGGUACAGUAUUUGGUCUUUUGGUGAUUGGAUACCAAUUUGUGGAGUAAGAUGGCCUUUUGCCUUUUCUAAUAUGUGGUGCAGAGCCUACAUUCUCAGUGGGGUGCUCUGGACAGUUAAUUAAAUGAUGAGUAUGAUGUGUUACCACUUGCCUUGCAGCACAAUGCCGUGUGGUAUCCUCCAGUUGUUUGACUCAAGAGCAUAGCCGGGGGACGACGACAGGGAGAGACAGUUGUCCCCCUAAAUCAAUAAAAAGCAAUAUGAAUGCAUAGCUAACUGAGGUUCUACCUCCCCUAACAAAAGGCCUGCCCCCCUAACAAAAAUCCUAAGCCUAUGGUUUGCCUACAGCUCCUAGCCCCAGACAACAUGGCUGAUGGUCAGAGACUAUAGCAGUUGCAGUCCAGCAGCAUCUGGAGGGCACCACAUUGGUAAUGCAUCUGGUUUCAGGCAUGUAUUGGCAUGCAAAUUGUAAUACUGCAUAUCUCAAGAUCUUGCCUGUACAGUAUUAUAUCUUUUAGAGAAUUCUGAUGUGCCUGUUGCUAAUCCCUUAGCAUUCCUUGGGGAUCAUCAAGGCUGUACUGCACAGACGCCUAUGCAGUACUUCAAACUUCUUGCACCCAUUACUCCCUGCUCUUUUGAGUUUUUUAAAUACAGAAUUUCUGUGAAUGAAUGGGAUAGCCUUGCAGAGAAGGACAGUGUGUGUGUGUGUGUGUGUGUGUGUGUUUAUAUGGAGUCUAUAUACAGUACCUGUAUGUCACAAGGCAGCUUGAGCAUCUGGAAGCAACUUGUCUAGCAGGAAUACCUGUUAUGUCCUUGGCAAGUGACUAACCUAACUGCAAGGUUAUCUUAAAGGUGUAGAUGUGUGACAUGCAUAGCCAUGUCGCUAGGAACAUGAGAACUUGUAUCACGUCCAGUCAGACUGGUCCAUCUGGCUCAGUGUUGCUAUAUACUAGUGACAGGGUUUCAGACAGGAGUUUUUCCUAGUCCUACUUGGAGAUGCUGGGGAUUGAAGUUGUGGCCUUCUGCUUGGCAAGCAGUUACUGUAAUACUGAGCUGUGGUUCUUCCACAUUCUUGGAUAUUAAAGUUUUUUUCUGGCAGCAACCCAUCACAUUGCUGUUGCAACUGUAUAUUAAUAAGUGUAUGUGCUCUGACAGGUCUAACAAGAUUACAAUGAUGGCUGAGAGCUUAUUCAACGGUUUGGCUAUAUAUAUUGUCCUUAUUCUGUAGCUAGUCUGUUUGAUUUUUCAUACUUCUUUUUAUGGUUGCUGGACACUGAUAUGCUUCACAAAGGCUGUAUUUGGAUGUAAUGCUAAUCAUUGUUUAGUGUUAUGAGAGUGAACCACAGGCUUCUUCUUCGCACGCACACACACACACACACACACACACACACACACUUCCUUUCUCUUUGGCAUACACAGGAAGAACAUCAGAAGUGUUCUUUUCAGGUUAACCACAGCUUAGUAUGUAAGCUGAAUCCUAAAUUGUGGUUAAUUUUUACAUUUGAAACAAGCCUACUUCAUAAACCUAGGAACCUAACCCUUGUGUCAGAUGCAAUUCCUUUGUACCCCAAAGGGUGAGUGGAUUAAAAAGAAAGGCUUUUAUUCAGUUUGCUCUACAUUUGACACUAACUGUAUAAAGAAGCAUAUAAACCUUUAAUAAUCUCAAAUUUCUAUCUCCAAGCAAGCAUAAGUAGUUGCUUAGUGGUAUUGAGAAUAAAUCUGAAAUACUGUACUGCAAGGUAGCUACUGGAUUAUGGUGCAAAGUUCUACUAUAUAGGAAAAGUUUAGUAUAAAAUAUGGUUUCGUAAAGAAAUAAACUUGAACAUCCAUAUUUAAACAAAAGUUAGUAAUGAAUUACCUGUAAUUGUUACUAACCUCUCUGUCGUAAUAAGAAGUUGUGAUAACAGGGAGCAAUUGUUUUAUAAGAUGGCACUGUACCAUCUUAAUCCAUUUGGUAGGAAAAACAUAGAAUGAUAUUUUAUUUUCUUAGGAGUUGUGGCUUCACCUGCUCCUGCAUCUCACAGCAAGCAAUGGACAAAAAUGUGGGAGCAAGAUGGACACGUAUCCCAAAGACUUGCAGUCGGCCAAACAUAAUGGGGAAGCCAUGGAAGAAGUAGAAUGUUAACUGAACAUUACAUUAUUUAUGUGAACUAUGUUUCAAAGAUGAAAUUGAGCUAAAAACAUCUUGUUAGGUCCAGACAUGAAGAUAAGGGAAAAUAUGGGAGAUUCAGAAUUAUUAAGGUGACUAGCUACAGAGGAUGUUGGGAAGUAAAGAAAUAGCCUAGAGUUUCAGCUGCCACUGGGCAAAGUCCAGUAUUUGGGCUUGGUAAACAGAGGAUUAUUGAUGCAGUGAGCUUGUGAUAGAAGAGUCCAUGAAACAGAAUAAGAAACUUAAAACAUUACUUUAGUUUUGAUAAUUUUUCUGUACUGAGACAGGACAUAACAUAGUGAUGAAGCUAAAUACAUUAUUUGUGGUGAUUUUGCAGGGCUAUGACUGCUGUGCCCUUUAGCAGUGAAUGCAUUUUGCCCAGAGGAAGACACUCUUGAAUGAAGACUCUUUUUACAAACAACACUGUAUUUGCUUCCACAGCCAUGAGUGCAUGGCUUAUCUGUCUAAAGCUCUGCUGAGUCCCUCUCCAACUCUUAUCUCAGCAUCUGGAUGCAGAUGCAUAUUUUUUGAAAGAGAGAUAAAACAUAGUUGCUUAAAAUAAGCUCUCUAGGUUAACCGCCAGCUAUCAAAUGCUAGUCUCAACAGAAAUGUAUGUCACGGCAUCAGAAUACUGCUGAAGUGUAGAUUCUAGAGAACUACAAGGAAAUUCACAGCUGAUAGGUAGACACUGAAAAGGCCUCUGUACUUGAUGUGACAUGAUGCACUGAUAGUAUUGAGAUAAUGUUCUCAUUUGUAAAAAGAUUAGAGUGUUUCACAUUGAUUUGAGAGGAAGUCCCCCAAAAGGCAGGUGCUCUAAUCCAAAUUAUUUUAUUUAACCCAGAUUAUAUUAUUUAAAGACCUUACUAGUGGAUAUAAAACCAACAGAAAUCUUGUGGUGAAUUGAACUUCAGAAAUACCGUCCUCUUUACAACAGAAUCCCUAUAUUCAAGUUGCAUGUUAGGGAGGAACAUGUAUCUGUUCUAAUAGAUUUCACUUCUGGUUCUUGGAAGACUGGACAUAGCAUGGGAUUUUUUGUGCAAAUAUGGGGUCUCAGGGAUAAUGGAGAUGUAAUGAAGUUGCCUUUAGGAUUUUGUGCACAUUUUAAAUGUACCUUACUGUUAUUGAUAUGCAUGUCUUCAGAAAUGAUUUGAUACUGUUAGCUCCUUGUGGGUUCCUUGACCCAUAAGGCAAGCUAGAAAUGAAGUAAAUAAUGAUCCUGUUUCAGAUUCAGUGCAUCAAAUGAGCCAUCUAAUGUUGGACAGUUGCAGGGGUAAGGGUUGUUAACCAGUCUGUUAAGUACAAUUCAGGCUAGUCUUAUAGGUAUUGCCCAGUGUUAUCACCCCAGUAGUUGCAAUCCUGUUUGUUUUCACAAACCAGAACUUCAUCGUUUUGGAGUGGACGACCGCUGAGAGGAGACUCUAACCUCUUGAUUUCAAAGGGGCCGUGGCUUUCACUGGUGCCUCCCUGGCUAAUGUAAGAAAGGUGUUUUGCCAUAAACGGUUCUGAGGUAUUUGGUGAGGUUGGAGAGAGGUCGGCCCAAGCAGGAAGCCCGUUGUCUGCCCUGUAAAGAAAAUAGCAAGUUACAAAAUGAAAGCAUCAAAGAACCAACAGGAUGCAGUCCCAGGAGUCUCUUCUGGCAUGUGGGUCCUCCUUGAAAGUUAGUACUGAGUGAAGAGUGACCUUAAAACUCACUUUAUUCAAACAGACUAAGCUCAGGUUUAAAGUUCAAGACAUUUUGUUUUUUCACCUGUUUCCUACAGUUUUCAAAAACUUCUGAAGAAUUAAUGUGUAACUAUAUCUGGUCCCUGAGCCAACAGUGAGGACUCUUUUCUUUUUCUUUUUUUUCUUUGCCAAGGGAAAAUAGGAUGCUAUAUUGUAUUGUACGAAACUUUAAAUAUUAACAUGUCUGGAACCACCAGAAUAAUGCACAUAGGAUCUACAUGAAAUGGAAUGAUUUGUCAAAUGAUUUUGAGUACAAUGUAACACUAUCCUUUUGAGACAUUUAAUGUGACUAGGCCAAAAUGAAGGCAUCCAUGGGUGUAGCCGGGGGGGGGGGGGGAGCUGUCCCCACAAUCAAAACCAAUACAAAUUACCGCAAUACUGUACAAAUAUGAGGUUCUGCCCCUAACGAAAGCCUCCCCCCCAAAAAGCCUGCCCAUCUUCUAACACAAUUCCUGGCCCAAUCUCCAUAUCUGUUCUCGGUAUUCUAGAACAGAAUUCAGGAUGGUGCUAACUAGACAGACAGAGGCAGGUUCAGUGUCCACCCCAGGGAUGUCUCUGGGUAAAUCCUCUCCCCUUAAGCAAAUGUUGCCGUUCACUUCUCUGGGAGAAGGAAGGAGUUGCAUUUGGGGACAGAUUAAGGCAAAAUCUCUCUCCGCACAGUGAGUGGUCUGGGCUUACUGAGUGAGCACACCUGUGGGGUGUGGGGGUGUGAUGCUGUGUAGAGGGUGCCACAGCCACUCUGCACUCUACAAGGGUCUUUGCAACAUAUAAACACUUUCUUGGCUUGCACUCUACCAGGGGUCCCCAGACUUACCGCACUUCGAGCUGGUGCCCGAAGCGCAGAUCCCAUGAAGGGCGGGGGAGCGCACGCCCAUGCACCUGCACACACGCUAUUUCCAGUGCACUUCCAGGUUGCUGGAGCCCCUGGAAAUGGCUUGUGCACAUGCGCAUGGGCCUCCAGUGACCCGGAAGUGCACCAGAAAUGAUGCUUUUGCAUGCUCGCAAGCUAUUCCUGGUCCUCCAGCAACCCGGAAGUGGGCUGCCGCACCGAUAAGAGCGGGUAGCGGGGGUUGCCAGGGGCCGGAUAAAUGAGACUUGCGGGCCGUAUCCGGUCCCCGGGCCGUAGUCUGGGGAACCCUGCACUCCACUUUUUCUGGCUCAUCUGUAUCAGCCGCUUUUAUUGUACAGUAAGGCUUCAAUUUUUUGCAAGUCCCCCCCCUCCCCCCGGGACAUCUGCCCCCUUUUAUUUUAUGCCAAGCACAUAAAGCUGAAUGUGCACAAGUUAAAUGCACAUAAGUUGUGAGUGUACUGUACAUGAGGGCCACAAAAUGGAAACCCAAGGCAGAACUGGGCAAUGGAGAGCUGGUGGGUAUGUCAGUGGCUCUCUUUAAGUUAGGAACAUAAGAACACAGUAAUCCACCUUAAACCAAGGCAGACCACAGGUCCAUUCAGGUCAAUACUGUCCACACUGGCUGGCAGUGGUUCUUCAGGGUUUCAGACAGUAUAUUUCCAAUCCUGCCAGAUGCCAGGAAUAGUACCUGGGACCUUCUACAUGCAAAGCAGAUGUUCUGCCACUGAGCUACAGUCAUAUUCAGCUCUAUGGGACAGUAUAAAUAUACAAAACUGGAACAAAGAGAGAGAACCUACUUUUUUGAAGACACAGGGAUCUGCCACCAGUGGAGUGCAGCCAUUUAUUUUCUCCAGUGUAUGUGAGUCGCUGCCACAUACACAGGACCGUAUAUAGACAUUCUCCUCCACAUAUACUGCAUCAUACUCCUGGCCCUCUGCUAACUCAAAAAUAAGCAAAGGGCAUUCAAAUUAGUGUUUUUAAAACAAAAUCAUAAUAUAUGGAAGUAAAUCCCACUUUUCAUUACAUUUACUUGAUAAUAUGUCUUCAUAGGAUUACACUCCCACUAGUUCUGCAAAUGUAAAUCUUAACAACAACCCUGUAAGGUAGAUAAGCUUUUAUUAUCAUCUUAUUGUGGCAGGUGGGGUUUGAAGGUAGUGGUUUGCUUAAAGCUGCCUAAGAGGUUGUGACAGGUUAGACUGAAACAGUCUUCACACUAUGCGGUCUUGGGUACUAUACCACUUCUCAUUUUACAUGUAUUUUUUAGCCAGCCCCUCCAAAAAGAAAUCACUAAUAGAAAUUAACAAUUGAACUAGUUAGUUAAAAUAAAUGUACAGUCUGAAAUGUACAGUUGGCCUGGCUGGGGAAUCCUUGUUGUGUUUUCCAAGGGUGUUCUCAAGUCGCACAAUAUGCCUUUACGUUCUGUCAUUUUUUGCAUCCCCUUUUUAAAACAUAGUCCUAAGCAAAUCAGCUGUACCAACAAUUGGAUAGGCUGUCAGUCGUAGUUAAAAGAAAUCGCUUGAAGAGAGGACAUACAGAUUUCACUCAUUUUCCCAGGAUAUUAAACUUUAAUGACUGCACUAUGAAUAUUUCAUGACAGUAUCUUUUUGAAUAGGUUGUUUUGUCCUGGAGGAUAUUGUACAUUAUAAAGCCUGAUUUCUCUCUAGGCAAAAUUGGUGAAGUGUUGGAACAUAAACGUUCGAUCUUUGAUUACAAGGAAAAGCACAUUUUAUUUCAGCCGUUAUGAAGCCUGAUGUUGGGGGGUGGGGAGUUGUUUUGUUUUUUGACAGCUCAUCAUAUGAAACUCAGUAUUAAAUACUAUUCUUUAUUUUUGCCACAAGGUGGCUAAAUAACCUUUGAAUGGUGGUGAAAGGGUUGUUUUAUACUGCAGAAAAUGAAGGUUUCAAGGUUAGUCUGAUUUCUUUUGAAAUCAGUGUUACUUUUGAAUAGCAUAUGAAAUAUUUGCAUAGCCAUUAGCAAAAAAAUCCAAAAAGCUGCACUGUUGUUAGGACCACCUAAAAUAGCACAAAACAGUUAGCAAGUUUUUAUGUUCCCUGCACAGCUUUUCUCGAACUGGAUUGGGGAUCACCAGUGGGUAUCUGAACUGCCGUCCAUCCCAUGGCCAUGCAGUAGGUUUUGGGUUGGACGGAUAUCCCAGCAGCUCCAAAAGUAAUAAUGAUCUAGGAAUAGAGAGGGAAGAUAUUCUAAGAGGAGGAAGUGAAUGUUAAAAGUAGGUUGGGGUGCGAUAAAUUGACAAUCUGGGUGUGGACACAGGGUUCGUGUAGAAGAGGGACACGGGUGGCGCUGUGGUCUAAACUUGCUGAUUGAAAGGUUGGCGGUUCAAAUCCACGCAACGGGAUGAGCUUCCAUUGCUUUGUCCCAGCUGUUGCCAACCUAGCAGUUCGAAAGCAUACCAUUGCAAGUAGAUAAAUAGGUGUUGCGGUGGCGGGAAGAUAAGCAGUGUUUCUGUGUGCUCUGGCAUUCGUCACAGUGUCCCGUUGUGCCAGAAGCGGUUUAGUCAUGCUGACUGCAUGACCCGGAAAGCUGUCUAUGGACAAAUGCCAACUCCCUCGAACUGAAGCGAGAUGAGUGCCGCACCCCGUAGUCACAUUUGACUGGACUUAAUUGUCCAGGGGUCAUUUACCUUUUUUCCUUACGUGUAAAAGAGUGUUAGUUUUUAUGACAUUAUUGCACUUACCAGUUUUUUUUUGUUACAUCCCUUCGUUGUUUGCUAUCAACAAAAAAUAAAAUAAAAACAGAUUUCACUGCAAAAACAAAACAAAACAGGCGUCUGGACAUUCCAUUGUGGCAACCUUAACCUAGGUUUAAGGUGCCAUUUGGUGAUAGGUUUCUAACACUGGUUGUAACUGGUGGAGAAAAUAUGGUCAGAGAGGUUCUCAUCUCUAUAUGUGCUGAGAUUGUCUGAAACUCCUGACCUACUGUGAUAUGAUCUGUAGAGGUGUAAAUAAAUAAAUAAACAAACAAACAAACAGGAGGUGACAUUAUGCCCAUUGAUGAUGCUCCUAUAUAUUUGGGAUGGAAAGAACAAAAAGAGCCUGCGUAAGCCCUUUAUAUAUGUUUCAUGUUAGUUGCAGCAUGGAUGGAAUUGGUUAAAAAUUGGAAAGCGUUUCGCAUUAGGUGCCUGGUUGUAAAGGCUGUGGCAAAGAGCCAGGCAAUGAAAGUGACAUUUAACAUAAAGUUGGCAAAGGCGAUGGGCUACUGUGCAAAGUGGAACUUGUUUGUUGUAUAUAUGAAGGAAUGCCAAUCCAAUUUUGCCAUGCUUUUGCGACAGACUUUAACACUGACCUACAAGAGACAAAUAAGAAUAGAAUCCAAGACAUAGAACAAAAUAACAAAAUAAGAGCACAGAAUGUUUAGCAGAACCUUUGCAGAUACGAGGAACUCUUUCCGAUUUCAGUCAUGAAAACUCUUCCUUUAAGAAACUUAUCCUUCCCCUCACAAAAAGUAUAGCUUCAUAUGCACAGUAAAGAAAUUGCUUAAUGUAAAUGAAGCAUAUCUUUUGUGGGCAGAUGCUAUACUUACUAUGGAGAUUUUAAUGUGCAUUUUCAUUUCCCCUUUUUAUAUUUUAACUUAUUAACUCUGACAAGUAACCUCUUGGUUGUGAACAAUUUAAUUCACAAUUCACUUUUUCUGAUUCAAAGUGAACAUGAGUGCCCUAAUCCCCUAAUGGGAAUUAAUUGCAUGUUUCAGUGCUUAACUCUGAUCCUUUCUCAAUUCCCACUGGGACAAGUUUCUUCCUAAAGGGUCUGUGUUUGUUAUUCAAAACACAAUUUGAAAGAUAAUGAUUUUUUUCUCCCAAAGAGGAACUGGAGCAACCCAAUGUUAAUGUUCUUUCCUUUGCAGGAGAACAAGCUGUAGCCUCUUAACCCAUUUGAUGUCAUGAAGGGUAAACAUACAAUGCUGAAAGUGGAUGAAAUAUCAGGGCAACACAGGGUGGCAUUUUGGAAAGACAGCACCGUAGUUUUGAGAGAAGAGCCUUGUGUUUUUGUAAAAUAGUAUUCAUUUCUACAGAACUGAGGUGUAUUAGAACAAUGUUAAGUCCUGGUGGUCAAAGGGGAUGUAUUUUCUUAAAUGACAGCCCUUUGACCAGUAAGCUUAAUUUUCUCUGGGAAUUUUUCAGCAAUGCUUUUGAGUGUGUAAAGAGUUUCACAGGAACGCUGUCAAUUUCCCGAGUGUAUGAGAAAUUUUCCCUGCCAACCUUAUUUUACUCUCUAUUCCAGGCACCCCCAAACUUCAGCCCUCCAGAUGUUUUGGACUACAAUUCCCAUCUUCCCCAACCACUGGUCCUGUUAGCUAGGGAUCAUGGGAGUUGCAGGCCAAAACAUCUGGAGGGCCGCAGUUUGGGGAUGCCUGCUCUAUUCUCUAUUCCUCCAGGAAGCUGAAGGCAGUCUAUAUGGUACUCUUCUUCCCCUUGCUAUCCUCCCAACAACCUGUGAAGUGGGCUAGGCUAGAGCCAGUGACUGGCCCAAAAUUCCCUUGGUUAGCUAAUGGAGAAUUUGAAUAUGCCUCCCUAGCUAUAGAAUAGAUUAAAACUCUGAUCAUGAGUCCACACUGACUCUACUAGGGAGAAUGGAAGGGAACCAGGGACUGCUAGGGUUAUGUUUAUAGGUGCUACACUGGUCAUUUCCAGAUUGUGUGUCAAGAGAGAAUGGCUUGUGAAAUGAAUUGUUAAAGGCUUUUGUGAGGUCUACAUACUCCCUGGCAAAGGCAGUUGCUGGGACUCUGCAGGUUCAGACCCUCCAAGUGUCCCCAUUUUCCAGGGACAGUCCCAGAUUUACAGAAGCCAUCCUGGUUUCAGAUUUGAUCCUGGAGUGUCCUCCUUUUCCUUAGGAUGUCCCUCUUUCCAUAACAUAAAUGUUGGAAGGUAGGGAGUUAUGUGACCCCCAACCCAAGGAGAUAAGUAAUUAUACAACCUUUAGAAGACAUCUGAAGACAGCCCUGUAUAGGAAUUUUUUAAAAAAUGUUAUAUAUGUUGGAAUAUUAUGAUUAUGAUUAUUAUUAAGAAAUAGGACAUCUCUAUUUUCAUUGGAGAAAUGUUGGAGGGUAUGCAGGUUUCACAAGUAUAUAAUGCCUACUGGAUCACCCCUGUCUACAUGCUUGUAGACACUCUCUGAGAAAUCUUAAAAAGGUAAGGAAAGCAGGACGUACCUUUGGAGAAGUCUUCUUAAUUUUUUAGUCUUAGGUUGCUUCCAGACAGCUGAGCUCCUUGUGUUAGCCAGGUCUUCUGUUUAUGAUGUUUCAAUUGAAUUUUAAUUGAUUUUGCACACUGUUGGGAGUAGUGCACUUUUUUGUUUCUACAUCUAUGCUGUUUCCACGCCAGUGGGUGUGACAUCAUUGCUGUGGGUUGGGCCACAUGCCGCUCAGCACAUAUUCACUGCUAACUCUUGUGGGAGUUACUGUUUUAUGAGCCCAUUCUAACUUUUUUAAUUGACCUUUUAAUUAUGGCAAAAUUCUUUUCCCUUUUUUAUUAGAUAAAAGUGAGAUAUUUAUGAUGUUACAACACCAUAAUUAGAGCAUGAUAGCAUUAUGGUGUUAUAAUCAUGCUUUUCCUCAAUUGACUGAGGGGGAAUCCAAAUUGGGUCAUUAAGUGACACCCAUCACAAAUGUUAUAGUAUGUGCUAAGUGGCGAUAGGUUCACUUUCCUGAUGGGUCAUGGCCCACAUCAAAGCCACACCCUUUUAACAAGAAUAGUACUAAAGACAUCUGCACCUGGGAAGGAUGAGCAACCCUUCUGUUCUUCUGAAAUUUGAGGGGGUGGGCAUGAGAAAAGACUGUCCAAGAAGACAGAAAAAUUGCAGGGAAAAUACAGGAACACAAUAAUUGGAUGUCUUCUCAGAUAGUAUUUUGUGAAUGCCCUGUAAUUAGGGAGUGAAUGGAGCAUGGCCAUUCCACACGAAAUGACGACUGGAAGCACAGUGUCUAUUCUAUCACCCUGGCUCUCUUAAUCUUAACAAUCUCUGAAAGUAAACCUCUUGAGCCACAAUAAUUAAAUGUGCCUCUGCUUUUUAUUCAGAAAAAUAUACACUACAUUCUCCCUUCAUAAAUAAAUGAACUGUUAUGAAAGAAUGGGGAAAAAAUUAAUACGCCUCAUAAUGACCCUCUGUCUAAAGUGAGGGCCAGGUGUCCUGCUCACCUUCUGAAGAUUUUCUGCAUCUGGCAAUUAAAGCCCAAACUGCUGUGUUGGGGAGGGGGUGAGACUGUCUCUCCUAGCAGUUCAUGACUGAUAGCAAAAUUUGGGAAAGCAUCAGAUGUUCUGGGCUUUAGUUGAACAGAAACAUCAUGAAGGGAGGGAGAAAGGUUCAUCUGGGAGGCAGAAUACUUUGAACAGUAGCCAAGGAAUAAAAUGGAAACCUUUUCAUUACUUUAGUAAAUUGGAGGCUCUUUUGCCCUACACUGGGAAAGCUGUUCCCAAAAUAGAACAUCAAAAUAGUCAGCCAGGUGUAUUGCAAAACACUAGUGCCACACUCAUGCCAAAAGCUAGAGUCACAAUCUGUGACAGACAUCUCCUGGUGAGAAACAUCAAACAUUUUUUGAAAUUGUGUAAUGCAAUGAUGACUAGGUCUUUGGCAGGAUAUGAGCAGUGACCAUUGUGUAAGCCUUGCAAAUUUGACUUUUGAGGAAGCUGAAAUUCAACCUCUGCUUUAAAGCUGGAGUAAGAAUUAGGGGCUUGUCUGACCAAGAGCAGAGAAAAUGGCUGCUCUUGGAAUGAGGCAUCUUACAGCCUCUUGCUUCAGCUCCUAGCUGGGUUGGGGUAUAAAAACCUAGCCCCCCUUAUAUGGUGAAAUUGAUGCUACUGACCUGAAGGUUGGAAUUGACAAAAGGCUGACCUUCCCAGAGUGUGUGUAGAGCUCUUGACACUGUCGCCCCUGAGUGUCCUGGUUGGCAUUGUGGAGGCUGUUCUACUUCUUGGUAUAGCAUGGAACUAAGGGCAAUGAAAGUGUGUGUGUGUGUGUGUGUAUUUCAGACUGUAAGUGGUCUAUAAAUAGAAAUAAUAAGAAUUUAAUGCACUAACCCCAACGGCGGAAGAGGUUUUUGGGAGUAAUAUUUAAGUGACUGACUUUGUAUCCUUUUCUCCUUUCAAAAGUGGUGCAUUUCACACCCAAUUCUUUGGUGGCUUAUGGGUUUCCAGAGCUGGUCCAGUAUUUUGCUGAAUAUUCCAAACUUGCAUACAUCCCUCCUGUGAAUUUGUUUUAAUAUCUGUUGGACCCAAGGAGGUAGCAUUGUUUAAAUAACAUACCACCUUUGCAUUCACAGGGAUUGUAAUAAUUGUGUUUUAGAAUUAUUGUUCAUUCAUAGACUUUAUUUAAAAAUUGACCUUUUUUAAAAAAUAAAUUGUUUCUAAAACAUAUAUAAUACAUAGAUUGCUGGGCAGGUACUGUACAUAAUGGUAUAUCAUGUACGGUACAUGAAGGCCUGUCAUAACUUUUGGUAAUGCGUAUGUCAAGUGGAAUUCAUAUACAGUAACCAAACCAACCACAUAAUGCUCACUUGCAGAAAGAGUUGGGUUGUACAUACAUGCUGAAAACAAUGGGAUCCUGAAAAUGGUUACUUAGAUUAGAUGGUCCUGUUCAUACUAAAUCUUGUGACCGCAUACACUCUUACAUGAAGGAAUUGGACAGUGUGAACUGAUAACUAGAGUGCUCGCUGUCGAACAACAAGCAACCGUUUCUUAUUUUUGUUAUGACCUUUGCUUUCUUCUGUGGAGGAGUGAUUUGCUAAUUGUAUUAUUGAGCCAAAUCGGAUCCUAUAAGUUUGCAUUGCCUGCAUUGUAUAAUUCUGACUGUGUGGCUUAGCCCCAUAUUCCUGGGAUGCUUUCCCCCCCAGAAUGCUUUCAGUGCCUCUGUGUCUCUGCACCAAAGUGUGUCAAAGUGCAAAGCAAAAGGAACAGGAUGCCCAGCUCAAGGCUGGAUGAUGGCUGGCUAUGUCUGAUGCGUAGUCUUACUCAAGGCUGCUGCUUACUCAAGGCUGCUAGUUUGACGCGUAAACUGAAGGCUAAAAGGCUUUGUUGAGCCAGCAUGUGUUUAGAGUCUACACCCAGAGAUAUGAAUUUGACAGUAAUUGACAAUACGCAUAGAUGAUGUGAAGGGGGGGAAGAUGCGUAAAUCACCAUUGUCCCCUAUAGCCCUGUUUAUGUUACCCCUGCCUAAGCCAGCAUGUGUUUACGCACAGGACGUGUACUAGUGACCCCCUUGCGUGUGUGACCCCCUUGCGUGUGUGACCCCCUUGCGUGCACACAUUUACAGAGGAGGGGGAAAGAGCCCAAAAGAAGGGUAUAAGAGAGCUUUGCAAUUUGUGUUGCUUUACUCAUGUCGUGGAACUAGCCACCUUGAGUCUCUUAUUAAUAAGAAAUAAAAUUCUUUCUCUGGAAGAACUCAACCCCGGUGUCGUUUUGACUAUCUUUUGUCCUUGCCUGGGUGCAACUUAAAAGGACCCUUACUAGCUGAUAAGGCUACAUUUUCUUUUGACACUUGUAUUGUAAUUAUAACUGGAGUUAGAAAAAUAGCCAGCUUGUAUUCCUUGGAUUGUUUUUAAGCAACCGUAUUUGCUAAAUAUUGCUGUAAUAACAAGCUUUUAAAGAACAAUGUUUCCGCAAAGUGUGAUAAUGUAUCAAGGCUUAUUUUUGUUUAUUUCAGUUCCUUUCGUCAGAAGAAUGGUUCAUGUCUUUGUCUACGGGACACUUAAGAAAAGCCAGCCCAACUACCCAUACAUGAUAAAUGGUGCUAACGGGACAGCCAGAUUCCAGGGCAAGGGGCUCACAGUGGAGAAAUACCCCCUAGUGAUUGCCGGGAAAUACAACAUUCCUUAUUUGCUUAAUAUCCCAGGAACGGGACACCGUGUCACUGGAGAGAUUUAUGCUGUCAAUGACCAGAUGCUGCAAUUCCUUGAUGAGUUUGAAAAUUGUCCAGACAUGUAUCAGCGUACCCCAGUGAGAAUUGAAGUAGUUGAGCAGGAAGAUGGAAGUAGUCCACCUGAAGGGGCACCAGCUGUUAACAGCAUCCUGGAAUGCUAUGUGUAUAGCACCACCACUUACCAGCCAGAGUGGAUACAUCUCCCUUACUAUGACAACUAUGAUUCCUUUGGGAAACACGGGCUUCCAUAUGUACUAAGGGAAAGCAGAGUUUGAAACUGGAAGGUAAAAGCUGAUAUGGACAUAUUAUCAAGAAGUUGAGUACAAUCUCUAGUAUUUUUACAGAAAGUAAGCACUAAUGUUUCAGACCAUAAUGUAGUUGCCUUCAAGCCAAUAUUUUAGGGUCUAGUCAGGUUUUCAGACUAAACUUGCGUAGUCAUCAUGCAAGAUACAUGGAUGGUAUGUCUUUAAUUCUGUAGUUCUCUGAUUAAAACUUGAUCAAGAGGUUGGGGGGGAUGCUGUUUUGCAAAGCAAAAAUAAAAUAAUGCAGUAUUUUUAGCAAUGUACUGUACUGGAGGAUAAAGAACCUCCAGCUUGCAGCAAACUUUUUGCAUUACUGUACAACCUUCACAUAAGCAAGGAAAUGGCCCUUGUAAGAGAUCCAUUAAUCAAGCACUGUGAGACAAAUGAGUUCACUAAGGGAAUUCUCUUUGCUGAUGCCCUCAAAGUUGAGUCCUCUGGCUUUCAGGUGCUCUAAGUGGGCAGUGGUGGGCAAAAAUGAUAAGAGCAUCAGGCUCUCAUGAUAUGUGGCGUUGUUCUGGAGUGGUAUUGCUCUGGAACAGCAAGUUAAAAACUUAAGAACAGCCCUGCUGGAUGAGACAAAAGGCCUCCUUAGUCCAGCAUCCUUUUUCUCACACACACCAGCCAGAUGCCUAUGUGAGACCUACAAGCAGAUCAGAAAGACCAUGUACCUCUCCUGCUGCUGUUCCCAGCAAGUGAUAUUAGAGGCAUGUUACCUCUGAUCCUGCAGGCAGUAUAUCACUAGCAUGACUACGAAAUCCAUGAAUUGAAAUGGGUUGACAUUAUAGUGCUGCUAGGAGCCAGACUUGUCAAAUGGGCCUUAAGAGCUCAGAGAAAGUUAUGGUUCAGGAAUUGGGGGAAGGAACUAAGAGAAUAUUGACUCACAAAGUGAAGUCCAAGUGAUGUGGAGCCCUCUGCUUCUUCAUUUAUUUGUCCACCUUUCUGGACAUAAUAGUUUCUAUUCAUUAGGUUUUAGUAUAUUUACAUUCUCCUCCUGCCUGUUUCAGCUCCAUAAAUGACCACGGACUACUGAAUAGGAUAAACCUCUUUUCAUUUAUAGCUCAGAAUUUUGAAAUAUACAAGAAGGGAAGAAGGCAGAUUCUCAAGAAAAUACCAAGAAAGCAGUUUUUAAGAUCCUACAGAUAUUCAAUUCUUGAAGAGGCUUUAACCAUCAUCUAAUUCUACUGUAUAAAGAAUAUGGAUUCUGACUCAUCAAGGCUGUGCAUGCAGUACAGAAAACUGCAAACACGGAAAAUAUUCAUUUUUUGAGGCUGGCUAGAGAAUUCACCUUCCCAAGAAUCUCAGCUUACAAGUCAAAGCAAAGCAAAACAAAAUACACGUUUUAGUCCUAGUAAAGAAAGGAUCAGCAAUUGCAUGCACAAGGCCUGGUGAAAUUUCCAAAGCAAGAGAAGCACUCGCUUGGAUUACUAGUCCUCAAAGAGCUUUAGUGCCCUGUGUAAUUCCUUGUCUCUCUUCGUUAUUAAGAAAAGCAGACAUUUGCAGACCAGAUGCAAGUCUUAUGGAAUCAAAAUACCACCACCCAGUCUCAUAUUCAUUCAGAGUGGCACUCUCACUUUCUGUAUCUGCCUAGUUGAACUCUUAACAAACUGUUCACAUGCUCAAGGUAACAAGUGAAUUCAUUGUGUACCUCCAUGGAUUAUUUUUUUAAGCCCAAAAAGUUGAUCGUGUGAGAUAAGCACAUCCUAUGCCAAUAAGGCAAGCUACUUCUGGAAAAAUACGCAGCUUUACAGGACGUUGGAUAAUAAUUAUUAUUUAUUACAUUUGUUAGUCACUUUAUCUUGCCCAAGGCAACUUAGAGCAGUGUUUCUCAACCUUUUUUGGGCCACGGCACACUUGUUCCGUGAAAAAAAUCACGAGGCACACCACCAUUAAAAAAGUUAAAAAAUUUAACUCUGUGCCGCCCUAUAUUAUAAUUAUGACUGUAAGAAACACUUGCCAAAUAUUGCUUUCCGGCGGGUUAGUGGUGUUUAUUGGCGGCCGCCAGGCACGUGACAAUGCAAAUCGCCCUUCUCGUCGCCGCACACCAGCCAGCGUCUGGUGUGCCGCAGAACAGCGGUUGAGAAACGCUGACUUAGAGCAACUUACAACCAAAUAAUCUAGCCAGUUUGCAUUUCAUGAAGUAGCUCUCUGUUUCCUUGGGUCAUUUCCCCUUCAAACAUCACAAUUUAAGUGUGACUUUCCUUACUUUCAUAUCUGAAAUUAACUACAUGCUUCAGAGCCCACAAUGAAAGAUCAUUUCCACUAGAGACUAUACGGUACUAUUUCCAAACCAGCAUUGGGAGCAGUUUGAGAUUCUUCCUAUAUACAUGGUCUGAAAUACUAGUUACAUGAACUAAUACUAACUUUCAAGAUUAUACUACCCACAUAUGCAAUUUUGUCACUGCAAACACCAUAUUAAAUAACAAAAGUUGAACCAAUCUACUGCAUGCAUAAGUGUAUUUGUCACACUAAUUCUUAUCACCAUCAGACUUCAUAUCUCCUAUAAAACAUCUGCUAAGUGCUCAAGUACUUGUUCUAUGUUGCCCCUCCAAUAGAUCCUCAUUUCUUUCAUCCUGUCUUGACACCUACAGGUACAUACAUUACCACCUCCAUGUAAUAAGCAUCAAUUACAUCAGCAGUCAACAAGCUUGUUAGGACUACAGUCACAGACUGCAGCAUUGACAUGGGUCUAAAUGUAUAGCCUACUUCUUAUUGUAGGUUUUAAGUUCCUUAGAUGUUUUAAUUUUUGUAUGGAUAAAUGUUUGUUUCUGACUGAUGGUCAAACAAAAUCUGAUUGAUUGCUUGAAAAGAGAGAGACUGUGGUGGGCAUCACAUGUGUGUGGUAGCUCUUCACUCCCCAUGGGGUAACACCCAGGCCUGAUUAGGUUUGAAAAAAUGAGCUUCUAUAGGCUAAAGAAGGCUUCUUUUAAGCCUAAUCUUAGCAAGGGAAUGGGACCCUGUGGGCACCAGGAAAGAUCUUUCUGUGGGCAAAGGUGCCACACUGGCAAUCCAUGCAUUGCACUGCGUGUACAUUAAAUAAACAGUGCAAAGAGGAGCCACAAUCCACAGCCUUCCAAUGGAAAACACACACUGAAAUUUUAUUUAAAAGUAAGAUGUAAAGUUAUAUAAAGGAAUACAGCUUAUUUCUCAAGGCUGUUGCUCAAAAGUGCUUGUUCCACAUCAGCAAGAGAACAAUAGACUGAAUCACAUUGCUUCUUUGUUGACCUGGAAUGAACCACCCUCAGCGUUGGGACCAAACUGGGACACUGUAAGAGAGCAGUAGCCUCUUCACAUAUAACAGACUUCCACACACACUUCCUAUAUAUUCAUGCCUGUGACCCUUGCCACAUCCCAAUUCCAGCACCCUCAACUACUCAAGUCUCCUAUUUUACAUCCUCCCUUGUUUUCCCUUAUGUCUUGGCACCCUCACAGAAUACUGAUGGCUGAAACUCAUUCCUCAAAGCCCAUUUUCUUUGUGCAGCUUUUGGCUGCACAUCUUAGCCCACAUCUCAAACCCCAAAUAAAACUGCAGUUAAUCUCAUGCUGCCCCUGGCCUCCUCAGUCAGCUCUACUGUCACAUGUGAUAGGUACACACACACACACCACCAGAGUUUUUCCAUCACAUAUACAUUAAAUAGGAAGCGCCACACACUUUUCGCCUCCUUGUCUUCAUAAGAACCUAAGAGGAACUUGCUGGAUCAGGCCAAUGACCUAUCUAGUUCAGCAUCCUGUUCUCACAGGUCUACCGGUAGGUGCCUGUGGGAAGCUGGCAAGAUGAACAUGAACACAACAGCAGUCUUCACAAACCUGUGAUUCCACUAGUGGCUGUUGUCCAAUAAUAAAAGCCAUCCAAGUUGGCGGCCAUCACUAUGUGCUGCAUAAAGAAGUUAAUGGCAUGUUAUGAGAGACAGUCCUAAAUGGAUAGGACAAUGUUGAGUACAAAUUUUGUCGUGCAAAAAGGAGAGACCAUAGAAUAGUUCCAUUCAACAUGUUGACUUAACCCAGAAUGUUAAGGUACAAUAUGAAAGCAUGUCAAUGUUCCCAUCUCCUAUGGUAACAUAGGUACUUUUUUCCCCUUAAGGGUAUGCCACACACCUCAGAUGACAAAAACAUGUCAGGAUCAAUCACAGGAAAGAAUCAACAGAAAUAUUUCUCACUGAAUGAAUUUCCUCCAUUACAAAAGGGAGCUAAGAUUUGAGUAGUUUAUUUGCAUCCUCAGCUACAAAACGAGAUAUGUGCAAGUACAUUAGAGCGAAUGUGUCAUAUCAGGCUUAACACUGCACUGAUACAUGACUUGUGCACAUAGCAUUAGUGGUACUAGGUUAACUGAUGAACAAGAGAAGCAUCCUGGCAUAAAAAUUCCAUUAAUGUGCAAAUACUGCCCUUUCACUUAUUUGGAGUAGGCCUACUGUUCCCAAACUUUCUCAGAGAACUGUCAGAAAGCUCAGGAGUUCCCCUAAGUUCUCUGAAAGCUUCAAAACACUGGGCCAAGGGGAUCUCCCUAUCCAUCUUACAUCCUUCCCAGCCUUUGCUGUCAGAGGUUUCCCUUUGCCUCCCACUCUCAGAAAUAUUCCCUGCUCUAGAAGUGGGCUUUGCAAGAUGUGUUUGAUUUAUCUCAUCAUUGGUGAAGGUUUCCUAAGUGAGAAAAGCCUCCAGUUGCCAAAUUCUAAACCAUCUAUGUUAAGUGCUUCAAAUCUACCUAUCAGCAGCAUGUUCUAAACUACAAACAGUGUGCAUGCUUGAUGCAAACAGAAUACAUUUUACAUAUAAAGGGGCCAACAACAUAAUUUUCUGGGCCUGUUAAAAAACAUAUAUUCAACCUGCCCCCACCCACAGCAACAAUUUCCUAAAGAUUAAACAACCCCACAUUUUUUAAAAAUACAGAUACAGAGGGUUGUCUGAUGGGUUCCUCCUAUGAACCUCUAACUUCGUUUCCUAUGUACCCCUUCUCUGUCCAAACAUGUACUCUCCAAAGGUAACUGGGAAUAGUAUUCUUUAGCGAAAACUUACCCAACAAACCCUUACAAGUAAAGUAACUUAUGCUAGUUCUCUGUCUUAGGUGAAAACCUUUAUUUCCAUAGGUACUCAGUGUUUAAAUACUGUGGCAUUAUGUCUAAUAAUAGCCAAUUUAUUUAAAACGGCUUUAUGAGAAAGUGUCACUUAAGCACCCACUUUAAUAAUUGUUCUUUAUGUCAAUCCUUAAUGUCUCCUCCCCCACUGUGUUGCAAAACAGCAAAUCCUAAAAUUAGUCGCCAAUAUAUCUCCCUUUCCUCUUUCAUUCAUUCUCUUGGGCUUUGUUCAGUUUCUUUCACUGCAUAAUUGUGUGUAUCUUUUUGCCUGCCUGUAUUAUUUAAGCCGGAAAAUGAAUAUCUUCGAGAUCUCUAAAAUAUCCUCUUUCCUCAUUUAAGGAUUAAGUUAGGCUUUUUAAAAAAUUCAAUAACUUUUCUACACUUCUAAAGAUACUGACCUGGAAAAAAGCAGAAAAAUCACACUGUACAGGACAGUUUGCAGUAAUCAAAAAUAGUUAUUAUUUAAAAUUCUCUUUAUACUUUAAUCAUGGCUUCAGUGGUGACCUCAAAUGGGGGCAGGGGGAAAUCAAAUAAAAUCCACAGAAUUCUUACUCAUCUGAGGCCAUUGUAAUCAAUUUCAUCCUUAAAUUCUCUAAAAACAAAACAAAAUGCAGAGGUUCAUUAAAAUGGCUUUUCAAAAGAAAGAAAAUUGAAACUGCUGGGAUUAAAAUUAAUAUGAAAAUAAAUAAUAUUUAAUUUCAUUGUUCAUUGACUAGGAACGAAACUGCAUUUCAUUCCAAAAACAAAGUGUAACACACCAAGUAUACAAUGGCUUCCUGUAUCAGAAUUCUCAAGAUUUCCAUUUCAAAAUUAUUUCAUCUGUUUAUCUACCUGUUUAAAGAAAAAUAGGAAUUAGAGAACAAAAAUUGGAGUUGGUGGUAACCAUCUGUUUAGAUAACAAACUAGAACUUGUACAGUCUCGAAAGUUAUAGGAAACGUACUAAUGAAUGUGAUGUCAGGACUCCUUGGCAAAAUGGAGAAACUUAAAUCUAUUUUCACUAUGCAAAAGAGAGUAAAAGGAAUAUUAAUUGUUCACCUGUUUAUAUUCAGAGGUACAAUAAAGAGAGCUCCAAUCUGAGGGCAGGGCCUAAGAAGAGAUCUUUGUGGGUCCAGUCCACUCCCUUAAGACUUUUGUGAAUCAUCUGCUAAAGACUUAAUGAUUGUGACAGGAUGUCUUCAAUGUUAGGCUUACAAAACAGUCACAAGUCCUGCAAGUCUUUCUGAUAAACCCAAUCGGCACUGAUGUAUUUCUCCACUCUGUCUAAUUGGUGUAAAGUUUGCAGAUCUGAGUCUCAUAUCUUUCACCCAGCUUGCUGCGUCCUCUCCUUUGACACCGGGUCAAGGUUCACAUUCGCAUCCGAUUAUCAAAGUGGCAGUCAUUAAGCAAGCAGCCUGCCUUGCACCGAAAUGAGUUUGCUUGAAGGAAAAGAAAGCUCGGCCCAUUUACUCAGCAGAUUUUAGCAUUUUAAGGAGGCCCAAAUGUCACACAGUAUUGCUACGUUCUGAAGAGUUUCAGACAUAUCCAGCUGAUGAUUAAUUGUGAGUGAUGGGAAAUAAAAUCCAGUAAAGCCAGCUGCUUUCCAUGGUCGGCAAAAUUACUAUAAUGGAUAUAGGCUGCCAAUUUUCCAGUUUUACUGGCAAGUCUUCCAAGUGUAAUUAAGGGAAGUUAUAAAUGAUAUGGAAAUCUAUCAAGUCCCAUUUAUUUUCAGAGGACUUUUCCCCCAGGGACUUUUAUCUCCAAGCUUAUAGUUUGCUUUGUUGUGCUAAUGAUUUCAACCACUUCUUAUUUCUGUUAAAGCCCUCAAUAUCCCACCAUAAGAAGUUAGAACCACUUCUUUCACAAAGAUUUAAAUAAACAGAAACCUCUUAAGGUCAUUUGCUUUCCCCCCACCUCCUUUCUUUUUAAGUUGGGACCUUGUUUGCUUUGUGGAAGCUCCAUUUCCAAAUGCUGCAUCUUUCCUGCAACAACCUUGAAGAAAUGGCCAAGAUUUUGAGAGAAGGAGAUUGAUUCACCCACUCCUUAGAAAAGAAAUAAAAUGCCGGCUUUGUGAAAAGGGGCCUUUGAUGCUAGACAUUUAGCAGAGGGUGGUGUUGCUCACUAAUGUCGUUUGAUUUGGAAUAAAAGCAUGAAAAUGAUGUGCAAGGGCCUAAAAUU
Molecule: non-coding RNA, 22284 nt
Organism: Zootoca vivipara (common lizard)
Lineage: Eukaryota; Metazoa; Chordata; Lepidosauria; Squamata; Lacertidae
Source: RefSeq, a predicted model, not a curated record